Long non-coding RNA from Myotis brandtii (Brandt's bat), 380 nucleotides. RefSeq lists it as uncharacterized. The transcript is spliced from 3 exons. Lineage: Eukaryota; Metazoa; Chordata; Mammalia; Chiroptera; Vespertilionidae. The record is from RefSeq and is a predicted model, not a curated record.
AUCCCUUGCCCCACCAUGUACCAGGGACGAGCUGAACUCGGAGGAACAACCAUAAAAAAGACACAGCUCCUGUGUUGAAAGAGCUUCCAGUCUAGUGGGAGAAGUAAAUACUAGAUCUUAAACAGCUGGGAGGAAGCCCCAAAGUGGACUAGAAAAAUCAAUCAAGUAGAGGAGGAAGAAAAAUUGGACUCUGAAGUUCUAAGAAUUUAUUCAAAUGGUAAUUGAAAGUCAAGUGGAGGUGUGAACUUUGAAGCGUCUUUGAAGUAUCUGAUUUGAAUGUUGCUCUCUACUUCAAACUCACCCACAAACUCUGCCAACCAAAGUCUGACAAGAGAACUCCGGUAACCCUAGGGCCUUCUCUGCUAAGAGAAAAUGUCCAC